CAAGAUGAGAUUUCCCAUCGCGUCAAGCGAGUAAGAUCCCUUGAAGAUGACAAGGUAGAUAGGUCCGAGGUGGAAGCGUGGCGACACGUGCAGCUGACGGAUACUAAUCGAUCGAGGACUUAACUAAG
Molecule: ribosomal RNA, 128 nt
Filed under: Anoxybacillus flavithermus
Lineage: Bacteria; Bacillati; Bacillota; Bacilli; Caryophanales; Anoxybacillaceae
Description: partial 23S ribosomal RNA
Rfam family: Bacterial large subunit ribosomal RNA
Source: RNAcentral